RNAcentral lists this long non-coding RNA (1869 nucleotides) under Homo sapiens (human). RNAcentral describes it as "HSALNT0298353". Lineage: Eukaryota; Metazoa; Chordata; Mammalia; Primates; Hominidae. The record is from RNAcentral.
GGCAACCCUCUGGUUUCCUUUCUACUGUGUGGAAGCUUUGUGUUUUUGCUCUUUGCAAUAAAUGUUGCUAUUGUUCAUUUUUUGGGGCCACGCUGCUUGCAUGAGGUGUAACACCGCGAAGGUCUGUAGCUUCACUCCUGAACCAGCGAUCCCACGAGCCUAUUGGGAGGAAUGAACAACUACAGACACGCCGCCUUACGAGCUGUAACACACACUGGGAAGGUUUGCAGCUUCAUUCCUGAGCCAGUGAGACCACGAAUCAACCAAAACAAAGAAACUCCGAACACAUCUGAACAUCAGAAGGGACAAACUACAGACGUGCCACCUUAGGCGUGCUGUGAGCUGUACCACUCACCACGAGGGUUCUCGGCUUCAUUCUGGAAGUCAGUGAGACCAAGAACCCACCAAUUCCGGACACAACAUCAGUGUGAUCACUGUGCCUGGAAAUGGCCAAAUGUGCUAAUGGGAUAUAAGCAGACCUCUGACAGCAUCUGAUCACCUCUAAUGUGGUGGUAUUAGGCUGGACAUGAUCAAUUGCCAAAUUAUUAGCUGUAUAGGCAAUUAUCGCUGGAACAGAUGAGAGAAAGAAGAAAUCUGAUCACAGAAGCAUCUGCUCAGGUUGCCUUACUGUAAAUUUCACAGGGACAGAUUUGCCCCAGUUCAUUGUCACCUGUGAUUGGGUAAGUCCACCUACUUCUGGGGUUUGGUGUAAAGAAGACACUUGCCCAGAGAUAUAAAUCACAUUCUACAAUAAUGCAUUAUCAGUGUAAAAAAAAGGUGAAUUUUGAUCUCCAUCUACUUUACUCUCUAUAUAUUUCUUAAUUACACGAGUACUCAGGUGAGGAAAUGGAGUGCUAUUUAUUGGGCCUUCAUGAACCUCAAUAAACAAUAAUAAUUAACAUUUAUUGAGUGCUAUGUGCCAGGAAGAAGUCUAAGUACUUUACAAAAAUGGUCUUACUGCAUCUUUUCAACAGCCCUAUGACAUAGGUCCUUUUUGCACUUUUUAAAUUGUGGAGACUGAGGUACAGAGAGGUUAACUAUCUUGUCCAAGACCACACUGCUGUAAUAUGAAAUGAGGAUUUUAACACAAAGUCAAUCUAGUUAUGAAGUCUAUACCUUUAACCACUAGAUUAAAGACAACUGAAGUGAGAGCAAGAAGAUUUACAAAGGCUUCUGUAGCCAGAGGAUAAUGACUGUACCACAGAAGCCACAGGAUAGGUUUUUUAGUGAGGACCAUGAUGGAGAAUUAGAACUUACAGGAUCAGUGAGACCCAAGGUAGGCUGAGAUCACAAUGAGAACCACAGGGUUUUAACCCAGCUGAAAGAACAAACCAGAAGUUUGCUAGCCACACCUCAGUGGACAGUAGUGUAAAGAGACUCACAGACCCGACCAGACCAGAAAUCUAUCACCUGGGACCAGAGAAGUCUGAGAGGGGAGUUACAAGGAUAAUCAAAAGGUCUUCAGGAGGCUCCAAGACCAGCAGGCAUAUAAGCAAAACGGAACAUAGACACUGGAAGCAACUUUCCUGUGUUAGUAAGCCAGCAGCAUCCUCACACCAUGCGACUUUACAACAACUGCUGCCCUAUCCUCAGAGCCUCUGCCCGGCAUGGACUGGGGCACUCAGAAUGGUAUCCCUUGAUAUAAUGCAUAUACGAUGGCACUGUCUACCACCUCCUCAUGCCUAAACAUUUCUCAGUUUUCAGAUUUAGAGUCUCAAAACUGUUUCCACAGUAUUGAACUCCCAGUUUUCUAAACCCCAACACGUUUCUUUCUUGAUCACGGAUCGUCUUUUCGGAUGACAGCAUCCUGGCUUGAAUCCAGAGCAAAAAACCAUUGAAGUCAAAUUAAAACAUAAUUUUAUGAUGACA